UCAAACUUUCAAGUAAUUUGUGAACACACAAUUUCUUGAUUUCUUAUGGUUAUAUUUAUCUCCCUCUUACUAAUGCUGAAUUGAAACAUGUACCCGUUUUCUGCAGUGUGUGUCUUGGAACAACAAAGUUCUGUUAGUAUCAAGCAUACAGGUUUAUUUUGUAGAACUUCAUUUUUAUUUCAGUUAUUCUGUGUUUUAGUGUCCAGUUUUUUUUUUCGUUCCAUGGUUGUUACAUGUGAUAGAUAUUGAUGUCAGAGUAGGGUUGCUGGUUUUAGCUGAAUAGUUCAGCUCAAUAUUGUUUUCUUACAUUAAUUAUUUCUGUAUGACAUGUACUCUUUCUGAAUUUACACGAUGCUGAUCAGAGGCUUGGUUUGGAGAAUUAUGCUAAUCUUUUCUCAUUUUUCUUCGUUUUUUCUACAACUAUUUGCCACACUACCCCAUCAUUCUACUGUUUUCUAAUAUUUAUGUUUUUGACAUUUAAUUUGACAAGUUUACUCAAUUCUGAAGAAAGUGCGACAGCUUUGUGGGGUUUUCUUGUAGCCAUGAUCUAAACGUCUUGAUAAACUGGACAAGAGUAGAGAAUGGUUCCAGAUAGAUUAAUAAAGUUCCUUCAAUGAAUCGUUCUUAUUUCUUUUAAUUUCUGGGAUUCGAUUGCAAGACAUAAAUUGAAUUUUGUACAUGUUUAUCUGCAGUGUGAAAAAUUGAGACAACUUUGUGGGGUUCUCUUUGUAACUAUGAUUUCAGAGAUCAGCGGCUUGGUUUGAAGAAAUCUUUUUUUUUUUUUUUUUUUUUCCUACAACUAUUUGCUGCGGCGUAUUAUUUCUGCACAUGUAUCUUCUGUGGUGUUCGCAGGGUCUGUGGUAUACAUGGGUUUGGUGUGCAACAGAGGCCUCCUUUCUCAAUCACACUACACCUUGUUAAUUUUUCUGUCUAAAGUGGAGAAGUAGGAGAUGAGUGCCUCUUCUGUUCCCUUUGUAACUACGUAUCUUCUGUCAAGCAAUUUACAUGCUUCUCGGUCCAUUCCUACAGGCUUGGGCUUGGUUAGUGCACACUUUCUCAUUCAUCCUUGCGAUAUAAUUUGGUUCUUUUUACAUAUAUCUGUUUCUAUUCCCUGAAUAGUUGUCCUUGAAUUGUGUACAAGUUGUUCAUGUUUUUGUGUUUCUUUCAGUGUUUUUGUUUCCAUAUCCGGAACUUGAGUACUACUCUCGCUUAUCUAUUCGCCCUUCCCAAGAUGAGUGAUUAUGAUCAAUUUGAUUACGUUUUACGUGUUGUUUGUUCUGGUUAUUUGUUUGUGUUGGGGGCGACAUUACUUUGUUCGGGGAGGUUUACACUAUAAUUGUGUUCACUGUAUUGUUGUCUUGACUCUUGAUUAUUUUUCAUUCCCGAUGAUACUUCUCAAAAGAUAUACUCUUCGUUACAGUGGCCCAGGGACUUCUCUGUAUUAGGAGGAAGCUGAAAUUGUCUCUUCAUAUGGGUACACAACGAUCUUGCAAAUUUGAUGAAAUUUGUUUCAAUGAAUCAUCAUAUUCUGCCAGCUGUCGUAUACUCACUGGCAUUCCAAGGCUAUAAUUUGGUCAUUUCUAUUUGAGAAUCUGUUACAUUCAGUCUUUGUUGGAGAAUAAUAAAUUAAUAAUCAACAUCUACUUUUGUCGGCUCCUUUAAGUUUUUUGUGUGGUUGUUACAGGGGAGAUGGCCUAUAAAUGUGUGGCAGGUAGAGAGGUUCACUUUUCGUUCAGCAAUGAAAUAAAACUGGUCAUCCCUCUUACUUUCUGUUCAUCCCUGGGAUAAAACUGGUCAUGCCUCUUAACUUUUCCGUUCAGCCUUGAAUAAAUAAAACUGGUCAUUUUAUACUUACAUGUGUUUUGUGUUGGGAUUUGGGAUAAUGGUCCUAUAAAGGUGUUCCCUGCUAGUUUUGCAUCAGGAAUGUGAGUAUGAAGCUAUGUUGCCAAGGUACGGGUACGGUACCCGAUACAGGUGCGGGUACUGGUACGGGAUACAGCAUUUUGAAAAGAUUUAAGAUACGGUAAGCUGAGGCUUAGACAUCUAGAAUGUUGGGAUGCUUCAUAGAAUGGAUAAGAAAGGAGGGUCAAGUUAAAUCCAAUUACUUCAACAUGGUGUUUUUCAGUUUUGGGCUUUGUGAUCAAGACAUUCACAAAUUGAAUUGCGAAUAUUUUUCUUUUCAGUAUAUCAAUUAUGAGUUCAUAUAUAUUUAAGUAGUUAUUUUCCUCUUUGGUGUUGCAGGAGAGGUAAUCUACAAACACGCAAUCCCUUAUGGUUCUGUCUUCCUCUUUUUGAUCUUCAAGUUUUGUAUUCUCACUUUUGUAUUGUCACUUUUUUCAAAAAAAUAAAAGUUGUGUAUUCUCACUUUUGUAUUCUCACUUUUUUCAGAAUUUCUUGAAUGAACAUUCUUUUUAAAUUUUUAUUUCUUGGCUUUGAUGCAUAAUAAGUGAAUUGAACUUUGAAUGUGUUUUCUGCAGCUUGACUUUCUUCAUAGCAUGGAGCUUCGAGAUUUGGUUUGGAGAUCUUUAGUGAAACAUUUGUUUUAAUAAUUCUUUAUUAAUUCUUAUAUCAUAUAUAUUUCUUGAUCUGGCAUUUACUCUUUGGUUCUGCAUGAGAAGAUGUGAUUUUAAUUGACAAUGUAAUUGACAAAAAUUAUCCACGAUUCUGGACAUAUGAUGUUCACAGGUAAGUGUUACAUGGGUUUGGUGUGCAAUAGAAGCCUCGUUUCUCAAUCACAUCACACCUUGUUAAUUUUGUCUAAAGUGGGGAAAUUGGAGAUAAAGUGCCUUUGCUCCUUCUGGACUUGUUCUUUUCGUUUCAGUCUUUCUUUGUUUAUUCUGAGAGCAAAUUUUUUUUUUUAUUUGCUAUUCAGUGCUGUAGAAAUUUUAUGAUUCUAAAGGUUUUGUUUGUUCUGGUUUCCUCUGUGAUGACAUAAUUUAAUGGUUUGUUGCUCGGGAUCUAUGUUGACAUCCUUCUCUCAGAUCUGUUAUCACAUUUCUCUUGACUCUUAUUUUACGGAUAUCUUUCCAUUAAUUCUUCAUUUGGUAAUCCAGAUAUCCUUUAUCCUUUUUUGCAGCGAGCUGAAAGUCUUUAUAUUUGAACUUCUUAAUACAAUGGACAAAAACUGAGAAUGGCUCCAGAUAGAUAAAUCAAAUUUCUUCCAAUGCGUUGUUCUUAUUGAUUUUAAUAUCUGGGAUUUGAUUUCAAAUAUAAAUUGAAUUUUGAACCUUUUUUCUUUCUUUUUUUUUCUUUUUCUGCAGAGUGAUUUGUCAAACUAAUAAAAUUCUUCGUAGCAUGGAGCCAGCUUUUUAUUUUGGUGAUGUUGAUUAAAUUUCGAUUUCAAACUUUCAAUUCAGAGAGCAUAUAUUUUGUGUACAUAGAUUUCUUGGUUUCUUCUGGUUCUAUUUAUCUUCUCUUGUUUGAUCUUCGUGAGUUUUUUUUAUUCUUUUGUUUCUUAUUUCGUCUUUUGAUUCUAAUGUUUGAUAUGUUUAUGGUUGUUUUCAAUGAUAAAGUUGUUGUUCAUAUUUUAAUUGUCUGAAUAUUGAGCAUACUGGAGUUCUCAUGUGAGUUUUUAAGUUUCCAAUGUUUUCUCAUAAAAUGAUAAUAAUUUGUGGAUUGGUACAUAUUAUCAUCCCGGGUUGAAUUUGAAUUCAAACAGGUAUCUGUUUUCUGCAGUGUGUCUUGGAACAGUAAUGUUGUGUGGUAUCAAGUAUACAGGUUUAUUUUGGCACACUCUUCAUUUCAUGGUGAACUGAUCAAAUCAUAUAGACUCUGAAUCAUUUUCAUUCAUUCUAUAUUUUAGUGUCCAGUCUUCUUGAUCUACUCUUUUAUGAUCUUUAAUUGAGAUUAGUUUAUUUGAUAUGCGAGGAGGGUUGGUGGUUAUAUCUGAAAGGUUUAUCCUUAGGUUUUAUUGCCCUAUCACAUGACUGUUUUCUUACAUUGAAGAUUUUGACAUGAAAUUUGACAGUGUAAAUUUUUUCACAAUUUUUAAAAAAUUGGAACAGCUUUGUGGGGCUCUCUCUCUGUAACUGCGAUCUGCAGAUUAAUGGUUUGGUUUGGAGAAUUAUGCUAAUCUUUUUCGUUAUAUUUUCUACAAUGUGUCACUACCCCAUCAUACUAUUGUUUUCUUACAUUUUGGUUUAUGACAUGUAAUCUGACAGCCAAAGUUAACACAAUUGGGACAGCAUUGUGGGGUUCUUUUCUGUAACUAUGAUCUUUUUAUCAGUGGCUUGGUUUGGAGAAAUAUUUCUUUUUUUUCUUGAUAUUUCUACAAUUAUUUGUCGCUACGUGAUUUUUCUACACAUGUAUCAUCUGGUGUUCACAGGGUAUGUGUUACUAGGGCUUGUUGUGCAACUAAUCUCCUAUCUCAAUAACACUGCACCUGGUUAAUUUUGGUCUAUGAAGUGGAGAAAUAGGAGAUAAGUGCCUCUUCCCUUUGUACUACUAAUCUACUCUCAACCAAUUUACAUGUAUCAACCAGUUAUGUUGCGAAGCUUAAAGGAUAUCCUCUUCAUAACAGUGGCCCAAGGACUCCUCUGCUGGCUGUGUUGUAUACUAUCUACUGGUGCUAGGCUAUAAUUUGGUCAUCUCUACUGAGGCUCUUUACAAUUCAGUCUUUGUUUGAUAAUAAUCAGUAUCUACUUUCAUCAAUUUCUUUGAGUUUUCUGUGUGGGUUUGAUAUGGGAUAUUUGUGGCAGGCAAAGAGCUGAACUAUGGUUAUUAUCAGAGAGAUGAAGAUUGGUUGUUAUUGGAGAAUGCGUUCAGAUAAUCCACAUUUUUUCAAUGAGUCAUUCUUUAUUUUAAAUUUUGUGCUUUUUCUGCAGCUUGGUUUGUGAAAAUAAUAUCAUCUGUCAACACAUGGAGCCUCAAGUUUUGAUUUGCUGUUGCCCAGUAAAUUCGUUUUGUUUCAAUCUUUAUUGAUUUUUUUUUACAAGCAAUCUUUAUUGAUUUUGAAAGCAUAUAUUUCUUGAUUUAUGAUUUACUCUUCGGUGCUGUUGGAAUUUUAUCCUCCUAAAGGUUUCUUUUGGUUUGCUCCGUGAUGUCAGUGUUUGCGGUUCUACUUUCUUUGAUCUGCUUCAAUAAUCUAGAUUGCUAGGGAUUGACAUAGUAACAUGAGUUUUUCCAGAUCUGUUGUCACACUUCGAAUGACUCUUACUUUACGAAUAGAUAAUCUAAUUACUUCUACAUGUUCUUUUCAGUUGGAGGGUCAAGAUAAAUCCAAUUACUUCAACAUGGUGUUCUUUUCAGUUUUGGGCUUUGUGAUUAAAACAUAUACAAAUUGAUUUGCAAAUCUUUUUUCCUUCAGUAUAUCGAUUCUGAGUUCAUAUAUAUUUUGGAGUAGUUAUUUUCCUCUUUGGUGUUGCAGGAGAGGUUAUCUACGAACACGCAAUCCCUUAUGAAUUGCUGUUUUCAAAUUACUGCUACAUGUUCUUUUCAGUUGGAGGGUCAAGAUAAAUCCAAUUACUUCAACAUGGUGUUCUUUUCAGUUUUGGGCUUUGUGAUUAAGACAUAUACAAAUUGAAUUGCGAAUCUUUUUUCCUUCAGUAUAUCGAUUCUGAGUUCAUAUAUAUUUUUGAGUAGUUAUUUUCCUCUUUGGUGUUGCAGGAGAGGUUAUCUACGAACACGUAAUCCCUUAUGGUUCUGUCUUCCUCUUGUUUGAUCUUCAAGUUUUGUAUUCUCAGUUAUGUAUCUUUUUGUUGAGGUUUGAUUUGAUUCUUGCUGGUUUGAUCUUGGAGGUUGUUGUUCUUAUUUUAAUGACCUACUGCUAUUAACGAAUCAAUUUUCUUCAAUGAGUUGUUUUUAUUUUUUGUUGGCUUUGACGCAAUUACACUUCUCGACUCUUCUUUUAAAUCGGUUAUCAAGAAUUAUUUGUUCAAAUUUUGUAUAUAAUUCUUCAUAAUUGUUUAAUCGAGAUACACUUUUUUAUCCAUUUUGCAGUGAGCUGAGAAGUCUUCUAUUCUAGCAACAUAAGAACGGAGGAUGACACCGAUAGAUAAAUCAGUUUUUUCAUUGGGUUCUUCAUUUUUAUUUCUUAGCUCGAGAUAUAUGAAUUGAAGUAUGAACUUGUUUUCUCUGCAGCAUGAUUUGUCAAAUUAAUAAAAUUCUACAUACCAUGGAGCCUAUUAUUUUUGAUUUGGUGAUAUCUAUUAAAUUCUUUUCUGUUUUAAAAUUUCUUCAUCCACUCUGAGAGUAUAAUAUAUGUUGAUUUGUUAUUUACAUGAUUAUCACCCCAGGUUGAAUUGUGAAUUGAAACUGUCUGUUUUCUGCCGUGUAGUUUGUUUUGAAGCUAUAACUUGCUUAUGUAGUAUCUAGAAAUCAGGUUCAUUUUGGCAUAAUCUUCUUGAUUGGGAAUCAUUUUACUCCUUUACACCUUAGGUUUUCUUACAUAUAGGUUUUUGACACUGAAAUCGGACAGAAAUUAUCCACGAUUCUGGACAUAUGAUGUUCACAGGUAAUGAGUUAGGUGUGCAAUAGAAGCCUCGUUUCUCAAUCACAUUGCACCUUGUUAAUUUUUGUCUAUAGUGGGGAAAUUGGAUAUAAGUGCCUUUGCCCCUUCUGGACUUGUUCUUUUCUGUUUAGUCUUUCUUUGUUGUUCUGAGAGCAAAUAUUUAUUUUUGAUUUACUAGUUGGUGUUGUAUGAAUUUUAUGAUUCUAAAGGUUUUGUUUGUUAUGGUUUCCUCCGUGAUGACUUAAUUUAAGGGUUUGCUGUUUCUUUUUUCAUUGAUCUGCUUCUAUAGACUAUAUUGUUCAGGAUCUAUGUUGACAUUCUUUUCUCAGAUCUGUUAUCACAUUUCUAUUGACGCUUAAUUUACGGAUAGGUUUCCAAGAAUUCUUCAUUUGAUUAUCCUUACAUCCUUUAUCCUUUUUUGGUCAUCUCUACUGAGGCUCUUUACAUUUCAGUCUUUGUUUGAUAAUCAGUAUCUACUUUUGUCAAUUUCUUUGAGUUUGUUGUGUGGGUUUGACAUGGAAUAUUUGUGGCAGGCAGAGAGCUGAACUAUGGUUAUUAUCAGAGAAAUGAAGAUUGGUUAUUAUUGGAGAAAGCGUUCAGAUGAUCCACAUUUUUUCAAUGAGUCAUUCUUUGUUUUAAAUUUUGUGCUAUGAGUACAUGACAUAUAAAUUGAACUUGAGCUUGCAUUUUUUUGACCAAUGAAUAUGCUUUUUCUGCAGCUUGGUUUGUCAAAAUAAUAACUUCUGUCAAUGCAUGAAGUCUCAACUUGUGAUUUGUUGUUGCCUACGAGAUAUACUUUCCUCUUUCCAGCUAGCUAAGAGAUCCUGAUACAAUGAACAAGAAUGGAGAAUGGCUCCACAGAUAUAUCAAAUUUUUUAAAUGAGUCGUAUUAUUUAUUUUAAUUUUUUGGAUUUGGUUGCAACACAUACAAAUUGACUUUUAAACAUAUUGUUUUUCUGCAGUGUGGUUUGUCAAACUAAUAACCUUCUUCAUAGCAUGGUGCAUAGCAUUGUGAUUUGGUGAUAUCUAUUAAAUUCUUUUCAUUUUCAAAAUUUCAAGUAGUUUGUGAACAUAUAAUUUCUUGAUUUCUUCAUUUGAUAAUAGAGAGAUCCUUUAUCCUUUUUGCAGCAAGAUAUACUUUCCUCUUUCCAGCUAGCUGAGAGAUCUUGAUACAAUGAACAAGAAUGGAGAAUGGCUCCACAUAGAUAUAUCAAAUUUUUUAAAUGAGUCGUAUUAUUUAUUUUAAUUUUUGGGAUUUGGUUGCAACACAUACAAAUUGACUUUUAAACAUAUUGUUUUUCUGCAGUGUGGUUUGUCAAACUAAUAACCUUCUUCAUAGCAUGGAGCAUAGCAUUGUGAUUUGGUGAUAUCUAUUAAAUUCUUUUCAUUUUCAAAAUUUCAAGUAGUUUGUGAACAUAUAAAUUCUUGAUUUCUUCCUGUUAUAUUUAUCUUCCUCUUUUUAUAUUUUAAUGAUCUGAUUAUUUUGUUAGGGUUUAAAUUGAUUUUCUUCUAAUUCCUCUUUUGCGACAAAUUUUAUUCUUCGUUUCAUUGUGUACAUUCCUAGUCUUUUGCGAUUAACUUCUUCGUUUCACUACUGUUUUCUUACAUUAAUGUUUAUGUAUGACAUGUAAUCUGACAGUGAGGUUUUACACGAUUCUGGAAAAGUUGGGACAACUUUGUCAGGCUCUCUUUGUGAUCUGCUGAUCAGAGGGCUAGGUUUGGAGAAUUAUGCUAAUCUUUCCUCUUUUUUCUUCGUUUUUUCAACAACUAUUUGCCACACUACCCCAUCAUUCUACUGUUUUCUGAUAUUUAGGUUUUUGACAUAUAAUCUGACAUUGAAAGUUUGCUCGAUUCUGGAAAAGUGCAACACUUUUGUGGGGUUUUCUUGUAGCCAUCAUCUAAACGACUUGAUACAAUGGACAAAAAUGGAGAACGGUUCUAGAUAGAUAAAUAAAAUUCCUUCAAUGAAUCGUUCUUAUUUAUUUUAAUUUCUGGGAUUCGAUUGCAAGUCAUAAAUUGAAUUGUGUAAAUGUUUUUCUGCAGUGUGAAAAAUUUGGGACAACUUUGUAACUGUGAUUUCAGAGAUGAGCGGCACGGUUUGAAGAAAUAUUUUUGUUGUUUUUUAUUCUUUUUCUACAACUAUUUGUUGCGGCGUAAUAUUUCUGCACAUGUAUCAUCUGUGGUAUUCGCAGGGUCUGUAGAAUGCAUGGGUUUGGUGUGCAACAGAGCUUGGUUUGUCAAAAUAAUAACUUUCUUCAUAGUAUGGAGCCUCGAGAUUUGGUUUGGCGAUCUUUAGUAAAAACAUUUGUUUCAAUCUUUCAUUAUUAAUUCUUAUAUCAUAUAUAUUUCUUGAUUUGGUACUUACUCUUGGGUUCUGCACGAGAAGAUGUGAUUUUAAUUUUUCGAUUCUAAAAUUUGCUUGUUCUUGUGUUCAAUUUUCUUUUGUUUCUUGAUUUCUUGAUCUGUUUGCCAGUUGUUUUUUUCCAUGAUUGCUUAUUUUCAGGGUUCCUGUAAUCGAGAAUAGGAGAUUGUUAGUGAUAUGUUUUUCUCAUAUUGUAGAUAUCGAGAAAUUCACCCAAUCACACUUCUCUUGACUCUUUUAAAUCGGUUAUCAAGAAUGAUUUGUCUAAAUUUUGUAUAUAAUUCUUCAUAAUUGGAUAAUUGAGAUGCACUUUUUAUCCAUUUUGCAGUGAGUUGAGAACUCUUGUAUUCGUAUGUGUUGUUCUUUCCGUUUAUUCAUUUUUUCCAUUGAGUUGUUCGUCAUUUUUAUUUCUUGGCCCGACAUAUAUGAAUUGAAGUUUGAACAAGUUUUCUAUGCAGUGUGAUUUGUCAAAUUAAUAAAAUUGUACAUAGCAUGGAGCCUAUCAUUUUUGAAUUGGUGAUAUCUAUUAAAUUCUUUUCUGUUUUAAAAUUUCUUCAUCUACUCUGAGAGUAUAUAUAUGUUGAUUUGUUAUUUACUCUUUAGUGUUUCAGGAGUAGUCAGUGAACAUAUGAUUUCUUCAGGUUCUAUAUCUUCCUCUUCUGUGAUUUUCAUGUGUUGCGUUCUUAUUCUUUUUUUUGUUGAUUAUUUUGUUCUCUUAAUCUAAAGUUUGAUUUGUUUAUUGUUGGUUCCAAGCAUUUAAUUUGUUGGCAAAAUACUGGAGUUCUCAUGUGAAUUUUCUGUUUUAAUGUGUUUCCAAUUGAGUAUCAGAUAAUGGUAAUGUUUUGCGAAAUUAUGAUUAUCACCCCAGGUUGAAUUGUGAAUUGAAACUGUCUGUUUUCUGCCGUGUAGUUUGGUUCGAAGCUAUACCUUGCUAUGUAGUAUCAAGCAAUCAGGUUCAUUUUGGCACAAUUCAUUUCAUGGUGAACUGAUCAAAGCAUAUAGACUCUGAAUCAUUUUCAUCUCAUUUAUUCUAUAUUUUAUUGUCCAGUCUUCUUAAUCCACUCUUUUUAUGAUAUUUAAUUACGAUUAGUUUUUUUUAUAUGCGUGGAGGGUUGGUGGUUAUAUUUGAUAAGUUCAUCCUUAGGUUUUGUUACCCCCAUCACACAACUGUUUUCUUACAUUGAAGUUUUUGACAUGUAAUCUGACAGUGCAAAUUUUUUAAUAAUUCUGGAAAAAUUGGAACAUCUUUGUGGGGCUCUCUCUUUGUAACUGUGAUCGGCUGAUCAGUGGCUUGGUUUGGAGAAUUAUGCUAAUCAUUUUCUUGGUUUUUUCUACAACUGUGUCACACUACCCCAUCAUACUACUGGUUUCUUUCAUUUUGGUUGAUGACAUGUAAUCUGACAGUGGAAGUUUACACAAUUCUGGUAAAGUUGGGACAGAAUUAUGGGGUUCUCUUUGUAACUAUGAUCGUUUUAUCAGUGGCUUGGUUUGGAGAAAUAUUUAUUGUUUUUCUUGAUAUUUCUACAAUUAUUUGUCGCGACGUAAUUUUUCUACACAUGUAUCAUCUGGUGUUCACAGGGUAUGUGUUACAUGAGAUUGGUGUGCAAAAGAAAUCUCCUUUCUCAAUAACAACACUGCACCUAGUUAAUUUUGGCCUAUGAAGUGGAGAAAUAGGAGAUAAGUGCCUCCUCCCUUUGAACUACUAAUCUUUUGUCGACCAAUUUACAUGUAUCAACCAGUUAUGUUUCUAGGCUUAAAGGAUAUCCUCUUCAUAACAGUGGCCUGAGGACUUCUCUUUAUUAGGAGGAAUCUGAAAUUGUCUGUUCAUAUGGAAACACAACGAUCUUGAAAUUGGAUGCAAAUUUGUUUUCAUGAAUCAUCAUCUCUAUAGUCUGUGUCGUAUACUCUCUACUGUUGCUAGGCUAUGAUUUGGUCAUCUCUACUGAGGCUCUUUACAUUUCAGGAGUUGUUUGAUAAUCGGUAUCUACUUUUGUGAAUUUUUUUUAGUCUGCUGUGUGGGUUUGACAUGGGAUAUUUGUGGCAGGCAGGGAGCUUAAGUAUGGUUAUUAUCAGAGAGAUGAAGAUUGGUUAUUAUAGGAGAAUGAGAAGAUUGGUUAUCAUUUAAGAAUGAAUUCAGAUAAUCCACAUUUUUUCAAUGAGUCAUUCUUUAUUUUUAAUUUUGUCCUUUGAGUACAUGACAUAUAAAUUGAACUUGAGCUUGCUUUUUUUUACCAAUGAAUAUGCUUUUUCUGCAGCUUGGUUUGUCAAAAUAAUAACUUCUGUCAACGCAUGGAGCCUCCAGUUUUGAUUUGCUGUUGUCUAGUAAAUUCUUUUUGUUUCAGUCUUAAUUGAUUUUGAUAGCAUAUAUUUCUUGAUUUGUGAUUUACUCUUUGGUGCUGCUUCUAUAAUCUAGAUUGCAAGGGAUUUACAUAGUAACAUGAUUUUCUCAGAUCUGUUGUCACACUUCGAAUGACUCAUGCAUUGUGGUUUUUCAAACUAAUAACCUUCUUUAUAGCAUGGAACCUAGCAUUUUGAUUCGGUGAUAUCUAUUAAAUUAUUUUCAUUUUCAAACUUUCAAGUUGUUUGUGAACUUACAAUUUCUUGAUUUUUUCUGGUUAUAUCUAUCUUCCUCUUUUUAUUACUUCAGUCUCUUGAUUCUAAUGUUUGAUUUGUUUAUUGUUGGGUUUGUUCUUAAAGUUGUUUUUAUUUUAAUGAUCUGAUUAUUGAGUUUCUUAGGGUUUUUGUAUCCAAGCAUACAGGUUUAUUUUGGCAAACUUCAUUUUCAUUUCAGUUAUUCUCUGUGUUUUAAUGUCCAAUCUUUUUUGUUUCCGUUCCAUGGUUGUUACAUGUGAGAGAUAUUGAUGUGCGACGAGGGUUGCUGGUUUUAUCUGAAUAGUUCAGCCCACUACUGUUUUCUUACAUUAAGGUUUAUGUAUGACAUGUAAUCUGACAGUGAGGUUUUACACGAUUCUGGAAAAGUUGGGACAACUUUGUGAGGCUCUCUCUGAUCUGCUGAUCAGAGGCUUGGUUUGGAGAAUUAUGCUAAUCUUUUCUCUUUUUUCUUCGUUUUUUCUACAACUAUUUGCACAACACUACCCUAUCAUUCUACUGUUUUGUGAUAUUUAGGUUUCUGACAUAUAAUCUAACAGUGGAAGUUUGCUCAAUUCUGGAGAAACUGCAACAGCUUUGUGGGGUUUGCUUGAUACAACGGACAAGAAUGGAGAACGGUUCCAGAUAGAUAAAUAAAAUUCCUUCAAUGAAUCGUUCUUAUUUAUUUUAAUUUCUGGGAUUCGAUUGCAAGUCAUAAAUUGAAUACAGGUUUAUUUUGGCAAACUUCAUUUUCAUUUCAGUUAUUCUCUGUGUUUUAAUGUCCAAUCUUUUUUGUUUCCGUUCCAUGGUUGUUACAUGUGAGAGAUAUUGAUGUGCGACGAGGGUUGCUGGUUUUAUCUGAAUAGUUCAGCCCACUACUGUUUUCUUACAUUAAGGUUUAUGUAUGACAUGUAAUCUGACAGUGAGGUUUUACACGAUUCUGGAAAAGUUGGGACAACUUUGUGAGGCUCUCUCUGAUCUGCUGAUCAGAGGCUUGGUUUGGAGAAUUAUGCUAAUCUUUUCUCUUUUUUCUUCGUUUUUUCUACAACUAUUUGCACAACACUACCCUAUCAUUCUACUGUUUUGUGAUAUUUAGGUUUCUGACAUAUAAUCUAACAGUGGAAGUUUGCUCAAUUCUGGAGAAACUGCAACAGCUUUGUGGGGUUUGCUUGAUACAACGGACAAGAAUGGAGAACGGUUCCAGAUAGAUAAAUAAAAUUCCUUCAAUGAAUCGUUCUUAUUUAUUUUAAUUUCUGGGAUUCGAUUGCAAGUCAUAAAUUGAAUUGUGUACAUGUUUUUCUGCAGUGUGAAAAAUUGGGACAACUUUGUGGGGUUCGCUUUGUAACUAUGAUUUCAGAGUUAACCAGCUUGGUUUGAGGAAAUCUUUUUGUUGUUUUUUGUUUUUUUUUCGUACAACUAUUUGUUGCGGCGUAAUUUUUCUGCACAUGUAUCAUCUGUGGUAUUCGCAGGGUCUGUGGUAUACAAGGGUUUGGUGUGCAACAGAGGUCUCCUUUCUCAAUCACACUGCACCUUGUUGAUUUUUCCGUCUGAAGUGGAGAAGUAGGAGAUGAGUGCCUCUUAUUUUCCCUCUUCUGUCAAGCAAUUUAAAUGCUUCUCGGUCCUUCCUACAGGCUUGGGCUUGGUUUAGUGCACACUUUCUCAUUCAUCCUUGCGGAACUUGAGUACUACUCUCGCUUAUCUCUUCGCCCUUCCCAAGAUGAGUGAUUAUGAUCAAUUUGAUUACGUUUUACGUGCUGUUUGUUCUGGUGAUUUGUUUCUGUUGGGGGCGACAUUACUUUGUUCGGGGAGGUUUACACUAUAAUUAUCUUUUACUGUAUUGUUGUCUUGACUCUUGAUUAUUUUUCAUUCACGAUGAUACUUCUUAAAAGAUAUACUCUUCGUUACAGUGGCCCAGGGACUUCUCUGUAUUAGGAGGAAACUGAAAUUGUCUCUUCAUAUGGGUACACAACGAUCUUGCAAAUUUGAUGAAAUUUGUUUCGAUGAAUGAUCAUCUUCUACAGGCUGUCUUAUACUCCCUAGCAUCGCAAGGCUAUAAUUUGGUCAUUUCUAUUGAGAAUCUGUUACAUUCAGUCUUUGUUGAAUAAUAAUAAUCAGAAUCUACUUUUGUCAGCUCUUUUAAGUUUUUUGUGUGCCUGUUACAGGGGAGAUGGCCUAUAAAUGUGUGGCAGGUAUAGAGGUUCACUUACUUUUUGUUCAGCAUUGGAAUAAAAUUGGUCAUCCCUCUUACUUUCCGUUCAUCCCUGGGAUAAAACUGGUCAUGCCUCUUAACGUUCCCGUUCAGCCUUGAAUAAAUAAAACUGGUCAUUUUAUACUUACAUGUGUUUUACGUUGGGAUUUGGCAUAGUAGUCCUAUGAAAGUGUCCCCUGCUAGUUUAGCAAUUUUCGCAUCAGGAAUGUGAGUAUGAAGCAUACGAGAUUCUGAGCCUUUUGAAUUUAACGGUGAGCUGAAGUUUAGACAUCUAGAACGUUGGGAUGCUUUAUAGAAUGGAUAAGAAAGGAGGGUCAAGUUAAAUCCAAUUACUUCAACAUGUUGUUCUUUUCAGUUGGAGGGUCAAGAUAAAUCCAAUUAUUUCAACAAGAUGUUCUUUUCAGUUUUGGGCUUUGUGAUUAAAACAUAUACAAAUUGAAUUGCGAAUCUUUUUCUUUUCAGUAUAUUGAUUCUAAGUUCACAUAUUUUUUUUGAGUAGUUAUUUUCCUCUUUGGUGUUGCAGGAGAGGUAAUCUAACAUGCAAUCCCUUAUGGUUCUGUCUUCCUCUUGUUUGGUCUUAAAGUUUUGUAUUCUCACUUUUGUAUCUUGUUGUUGAGGUUUGAUUUGGUUCUUGCUGGUUUGAUCUUGGAGGUUGCUGUUCUUAUUUUAAUGACCUACUGCUAUUAAUGAAUUAUUUGGGUUUUAGUUAAUUGUUAAUCUCAUUUGGUUAUUUGCGUAGUUUUGGUAGAGUUAUGCUGGUAAAAAUAAAGGAAUAUUGAGUUAUGUAUUUAUCCAUUUUGCAGAAAGUUUAUUUCUGGAUAUCCGCAGCAAUUUGCAAUUCCAUAUAAUACAGAUAAUGGCUAUAGAUAGAUAAUUCAAAUUUCUUCAAUGAGUUGUUAUUAAUUUUAUUUUUGGGAUUUCAUUGCAAGACAUAAGGAUUGAAUUGUGAACAUUUUUAUUUUCCUCAGGUGUUGUAGGUUGGAAACACGUGAUUUCUCCUGGUUUUAUCUUUCUCUUGUUUGAUCUUCAUGUUUAGUAUUCUGAUUUAUUUGGUUAUGGCUUUUAUUGGCAUUCACAAAAAUAUUUAUUAUGAUGCUGUUUUCUUGCAGUGUAGUGUUUUUCAAACAAAUAACAUUCUGUUUAGUAACAAGGCUCGAGUUUAUUUUGGUACUUUUUAAUUGGAUUGUGGAUGAUUAUGUUUGUUUCAUUUCUUUUCUUCCAAUUUUUAUCCUCUGUUAUGCGACUUGGUUUGAAGAAUUAAGCUAUUAUUCUUUCUUUCUUUUCAGUUCUUUUUCCUACAACCCAUAUGUCACAGCGUAAUUUUCUGUACAUUUUCAUCUGGUGUUUGCAGGGUAAGUGUUACAUGGUUUGGUGUACCACAAUUGUUUCCUUCUGUCUCAAUCAGAGUGCUCCUUUUCAAUUUUCCGUCUAAAGGGGAGAAAUUGAAGAUGAGUGUAUUUGCUGCUUUGCACUAAUCUUUUGUGAAUGAGAACACAUGGACCAUAAUGUUUGCUGUCUGUGUCAUAUAUUUUCUAGGCUUUAAUUUGGUGGUCUCUACUCAGAUUAUGAAUUCUUUACAUUUUCAGUAUAGUCGUUUCAGCAUCCAUAUUGAGUAAUGGCCCAAGGAGUCCUCUGGUAUUAGGUGGAAGCUUAAAUUGUCGAUUCAUAUUGAGUAAUGGAUCUUGCAAGUUGGAUGUUUCUGCAGUCUGUGUUGUAUGCUUUAAUUUGGUAUCUCUGCUAAGAAUGACUUUACAUUUAGUCGUUGUUUGACACUUGGCAACUUUUCUCAGUUCUUUUUGAAUUUUGUGUGGGUGUUACAGGCGAGAUAGAAUAUGUGGCCUGUGGAUAGCCAGAGGUACCAUACUUUCCAUUCAGCCUUGGGAUAAGUGAUAUUCCUUUGAUUGUUGUCCUGCUAGUGGAGUUUAUGUGUUUCUGUAUGAGGAGCAUACGAAUAUUCUCAUUGUUGUUAUGCUUUCAUUUGGUAAAUUGGGACUGUGAUUUGUUGUUGCGAGAUUAUCAAGUUCUGCUCGGUUAUUAAAGCAGAGAUAGCCAAUGAAAUGUGGGAUGCAUAUUAUCAAGGACAUGCUUUGAGCCUUGGGAUAAAAUGUUGUCCUCGUGUGUGAUGUGAGGAGUUGAAUAUGAUUCUAGAGUACUUCAAGAAUAAAUCGCACAUCAAUAAAUUCCUCGAAUCAGUGAGGAGCAUGACUUUUGAAGGUUUGAUGUUGUUUGCCUUUGUUUCUUUAUUGUUGAGUUCUGCUUGUUAGUCUGGACCUAGAGCACCGUGAGCCUUGUUUUCGAGUAGUUAUUAUCUGGUGGUUUGACCUUCCUGUAUCUGUUGUAAUCUGUGUUAAGGGGGAUUUUCUAUACUCUUCUUUUAUUUGGUAAGAGUGAAUCUCUUCUCCUAAGUGGAUAUUUCUUUGUUAUUGCAGCACAAGAACCCAUCAUAAUUAUACUUCUUUUAAGAACCUGCCUGACUUCAAGAACCACCAAGAUUCUAGCAUGUAUGGGGACUCCUAUAUUUUUCCCUUUGUGCACAGUAUUGGGUGUGGUUGAGAGUCUUAUCAGAUUGAUUAUACUUCACUAUUUAACAAUAGAGUGGUGGACUCCUAGCUUGUGAAUCUAUAUUGGGUUGUGAAGUGGUGGCCGAGGUUACUACAAACGUACUGAUCAUUUUUCAAUUUAUAUGUACUUUUUUCAGUUAUCUUUUGAUUGGUCGUUCCAGUGAUAACUAGUGUUAAACAAAAUUCUGUGGAAAUCUCUUAUUGUAGGAUGAGUUUUGGGGGCAGCUUGGUUGAAGGAUUUUGUUUCAAUGAAUAUUCUGUGUAAAUAAGUAUCCUCUAUCUCACAGUUGGCACAAGAAACUCGAUAUGGCAUUAGGAGGACAGUUAAAUUUUGUCUCAUUGAGGUGCAAUUUAAUGGUAAUUUGUCCUAAACCUAAAUGUUAUUUAGGUUGUGUCAUAUAUUUCCACUACUUUUGGGCUUGAUUUGGAGAUCUCUACUAUUAUGAAUACCUCAACUUUGGUCAGCCAUUCUGAAAUCUGAACAAUGCAUUUAUCUGUUUUAUUCAGCGUAGGUAAGUGAAGGUUGGAUCAUGAUCUGAUUUCCCAGAAAAUUGAGUCUAGUCUUCUCAAUUUCUGUGAUUAUGCUAGUUGAGAAGUUGCUGCUAUAAAUUAGAAUUUGACCUCUACCAUUGCAAUUCAUGUGCCAAAUAGAACCUUAUAUAUGUUUAAAAAAUGAAGCAGCUAUGUAUUAGUUUGAAAAUACUAGAACACAUGAACCUGAUGUUGUUAGUUGUGUGAAGGAUUUUGGAGGUUUAGUCCCAUAGUCUUGUAAUCAGAGACACUUUGGGGGUAAUUAGAAUGGCUAGAAGAAAUUCAGGUUUCACCUCUUUAUGACAUUUUAGCUUUUCAUAAUAGUGUUGCAAUGUUAGUUUUUAUGACACAGAAAAAACAAAUUGAUUAGGAGUACUUAAUGCAUUGGUUGAUGACAAACAUAGAAUGCAAUCAUAGUAGA
Molecule: long non-coding RNA, 17121 nt
Organism: Trifolium pratense (red clover)
Lineage: Eukaryota; Viridiplantae; Streptophyta; Magnoliopsida; Fabales; Fabaceae
Exons: 8
Source: RefSeq, a predicted model, not a curated record